RNAcentral lists this long non-coding RNA (892 nucleotides) under Mus musculus (house mouse). RNAcentral describes it as "predicted gene, 20125". Lineage: Eukaryota; Metazoa; Chordata; Mammalia; Rodentia; Muridae. The record is from RNAcentral.
AUAGGCUCCUAACACGAAUGGUCGAGGAUGGUCUUGAACUAGAGAUCCUGCCAGUGUGUGCCACCAUUCCUGUCUACUGGCUCCUAGUUUUAUUAUUACUUUGACAUAAGACUUUAAAUACUAAAAAAUACAUGGAAAGGAAUUAGAGCCAGCUGAAUGCAAUAAGGAACAAGGAAGGAAGACGCUCAGUAAGAGGAAAUCAAACCUGUUUACAAGUCUGGGAUCUAAACACUUGUGAGGUUAACUAAAGGGCACUGAACAAGUAAAGCUGUGCUGAAAAGAACAGUGGCCAAGGCAGGGAUAUUCUUAUACCACAAACAGUCAUGCAGAUGGAAGUCUGGCCAACAAAACCAUAAAGCAUCAUGUCUCACUGUGACUCAAUCUGUCAGCUCAAGUACAAGCCUUGAGUACACAAGUUCUUCUGCAUUCCCAAAUGCUUCCUUCUUUUGUCUCCAGUUAAAGACAUUUACCACUUUCUGGGAAGGAUUUCAACUUCAACUUUUCAUGAAAUACGAUGAGAGAUCGACUCAUGAUGGACUCAUCAGAAAUAAUUGGAGGUGGGAGGGAACAAUGUCAUCACUGACAGACUGUGCAACAACAAUUACUUGGAGCAACAGAGAGCAACGGGACAGCAGAGACCAUAUCUCCAACCAUUGAUUGUCCUUCAGCAUCAUUGGAAAUGUUCCCGAUUGCAUGUCUGUUAAAUAAAAUAUCACAUUGGACCCCUAUAUUGAUGCCAUUUUGCAGAUUGAGACAAUAGGAUGUGAACAGUAGAAUCUCCCAGCUAUACUUAGGAGUCAAAGAAUAUAUUGAAACAAAAAACCCAGGCAGAGGCAAAACAGAUGAGGACUAACUAGUUCCUGUGCUUUGGAAAAGAUGCAAUUGACAAGUA